RNAcentral lists this unclassified non-coding RNA (380 nucleotides) under uncultured Pseudomonadota bacterium. RNAcentral describes it as "uncultured proteobacterium contains 16S-23S intergenic spacer region". Lineage: Bacteria; Pseudomonadati; Pseudomonadota. The record is from RNAcentral.
UCCGAGUUACCCCGGCAGUCUCCUAUGAGUCCCCACCAUUACGUGCUGGCAACAUAGGGCGAGGGUUGCGCUCGUUGCGGGACUUAACCCAACAUCUCACGACACGAGCUGACGACAGCCAUGCAGCACCUGUGUUCCGAUUCCCUUUCGGGCACUCCCACCUCUCAGCAGGAUUCCGGACAUGUCAAGGGUAGGUAAGGUUGUUCGCGUUGCAUCGAAUUAAUCCACAUCAUCCACCGCUUGUGCGGGUCCCCGGCAAUUCCUUUGAGUUUUAAGCUUGCGCUCGUACUCCCCAGGCGGGAUGCUUAACGCGUUAGCUUCUCAGCCCAGAGGGUCGAUACUCCAAACUGAUAGCAUCCAUCGUUUACGGCGUGGACUAC